Molecule: ribosomal RNA, 423 nt
Filed under: uncultured bacterium
Lineage: Bacteria
Description: bacterial SSU rRNA
Rfam family: Bacterial small subunit ribosomal RNA
Source: RNAcentral
UGAGGAAUAUUGGUCAAUGGACGCAAGUCUGAACCAGCCAUGCCGCGUGAAGGAUGAAGGCCUUCUGGGUUGUAAACUUCUUUUACCUGGGAAGAAACCUCCGAUUUCUAUUGGAGUUGACGGUACCAGAGGAAUAAGCACCGGCUAACUCCGUGCCAGCAGCCGCGGUAAUACGGAGGGUGCAAGCGUUAUCCGGAUUUACUGGGUUUAAAGGGUGUGUAGGCGGGCUAUUAAGUCAGUGGUGAAAUCUCCGGGCUCAACCCGGAAACUGCCAUUGAUACUAUUAGUCUUGAAUUUUGUUGAGGUAGGCGGAAUAAGUCAUGUAGCGGUGAAAUGCAUAGAUAUGACUUAGAACACCAAUUGCGAAGGCAGCUUACUAAGCAAAUAUUGACGCUGAGGCACGAAAGCGUGGGGAUCAAACAG